This 428-nucleotide ribosomal RNA is filed under the name uncultured bacterium. Its description in RNAcentral is "partial 16S ribosomal RNA". It matches the Rfam family "Bacterial small subunit ribosomal RNA", at positions 354 to 796 of the family's 1533-position model. The record is from RNAcentral.
GUGGGGAAUAUUGGGCAAUGGGCGGAAGCCUGACCCAGCGACGCCGCGUGGGGGAAGAAGUCUUUCGGGAUGUAAACCCUUGUUGUACGGGACGAAGGAAGUGACGGUACCGUACGAGGAAGCCCCGGCAAACUACGUGCCAGCAGCCGCGGUAAUACGUAGGGGGCGAGCGUUGCUCGGAUUGACUGGGCGUAAAGCGCGCGUAGGCGGUCCAUUAAGUGUGCGGUGAAAUUCGGAGGCUCAACCUCCGUCCCGCCGCGCAAACUGAUGGUCUUGAGAUUGGGAGGGGGAUGCGGAAUUCCUGGUGUAGCGGUGAAAUGCAUUGAUAUCAGGAGGAACACCGGCGGCGAAAGCGGCAUCCUGGCUUAUAUCUGACGCUGAGGCGCGAAAGCGUGGGUAGCAAACGGGAUUAGAUACCCUUGUAGUCC